Molecule: non-coding RNA, 28 nt
Filed under: Mus musculus (house mouse)
Lineage: Eukaryota; Metazoa; Chordata; Mammalia; Rodentia; Muridae
Source: RNAcentral
UGAGAAGACUGUGCCUUCUUUCCUUUGG